This 281-nucleotide transfer-messenger RNA is filed under the name Chryseobacterium sp. RNAcentral's name for it is "partial transfer-messenger RNA". It matches the Rfam family "transfer-messenger RNA", at positions 82 to 374 of the family's 374-position model. From Rfam's summary of the family: Bacterial tmRNA, also known as 10Sa RNA or SsrA, is named for its dual tRNA and mRNA-like properties. Its role is to liberate the mRNA from a stalled ribosome. The record is from RNAcentral. Lineage: Bacteria; Pseudomonadati; Bacteroidota; Flavobacteriia; Flavobacteriales; Weeksellaceae.
GCUUAAUCUGAAUCAUAGUAGGAUUUAAGCGUUUUCCCGAAGUAUAGUAAGGAAGCGAGAUGUCCCACAGAGGCCCUUUUCCGCGGCGUCUGAUUUCGGGAUAUAGUAAUGCGGAAAUAAGGCUUUGGCAGCUUCGUCCAAGGCACGAAAACCAAAGAAGCUAAGAUGCCGGUUGCGCGUUUGCCCGCUGCCGACAUCCGACAACCAAAGGCAAACUAAGCAUGUAGAAGGCUUAUGUAUUGCCUGUUUGGACGAGGGUUCGAAUCCCUCCAACUCCACUC